UGCAAGUCGAACGAGGUGCUUUUGUAGCAAUACGAAAGUAUCCUAGUGGCGAACGGGUGAGUAACGCGUUGGUGACCUACCCCAAAGUGUGGGAUAACAGUUCGAAAGAACUGCUAAUACCGCAUGUGGUUAUUGGAUUUAGAAACUGAUAACUAAAGGAGUAAUUCGCUUUGGGAGGGACCUGCGUCCCAUCAGCUAGUUGGUGAGGUAAUGGCUCACCAAGGCUACGACGGGUAGGGGACCUGAGAGGGUGACCCCCCACAAUGGAACUGAAACACGGUCCAUACACCUACGGGUGGCAGCAGUAGGGAAUAUUGCACAAUGGGCGAAAGCCUGAUGCAGCAACGCCGCGUGCGCGAUGAAGGCCUUCGGGUCGUAAA
Molecule: ribosomal RNA, 380 nt
Filed under: uncultured Chloroflexota bacterium
Lineage: Bacteria; Bacillati; Chloroflexota
Description: bacterial SSU rRNA
Rfam family: Bacterial small subunit ribosomal RNA
Source: RNAcentral